UACGUAGGGGGCUAGCGUUGUUCGGAAUUACUGGGCGUAAAGCGCGCGCAGGCGGAUUGAUAAGUCAGGGGUGAAAUCCCGGAGCUCAACUUCGGAAUUGCCUUUGAUACUGUCUGUCUUGAGUCCGGGAGAGGUGAGUGGAAUUCCUAGUGUAGAGGUGAAAUUCGUAGAUAUUAGGAAGAACACCAGUGGCGAAGGCGGCUCACUGGCCCGGUACUGACGCUCAUGUGCGAAAGCGUGGGGAGCAAACAGG
This 253-nucleotide ribosomal RNA is filed under the name uncultured bacterium. RNAcentral's name for it is "partial 16S ribosomal RNA". It matches the Rfam family "Bacterial small subunit ribosomal RNA", at positions 524 to 776 of the family's 1533-position model. The record is from RNAcentral.